UACGGGGGGGGCAAGCGUUGUUCGGAAUUACUGGGCGUAAAGGGCUCGUAGGCGGCCAACUAAGUCAGACGUGAAAUCCCCAGGCUCAACCUGGGAACUGCGUCUGAUACUGGAUGGCUUGAAUCCGGGAGAGGGAUGCAGAGUUCCAGGUGUAGCGGUGAAAUGCGUAGAUAUCUGGAGGAAUACCGGUGGCGAAGGCGGCAUCCUGGACCGGCAUUGACGCUGAGGAGCGAAAGCCAGGGGAGCAAACGGG
This 253-nucleotide ribosomal RNA is filed under the name uncultured bacterium. RNAcentral describes it as "partial 16S ribosomal RNA". It matches the Rfam family "Bacterial small subunit ribosomal RNA", at positions 524 to 776 of the family's 1533-position model. The record is from RNAcentral.